AGGACGAACGCUGGCGGCGUGCUUAACACAUGCAAGUCGAGCGGAAAGGCCCUUCGGGGUACUCGAGCGGCGAACGGGUGAGUAACACGUGAGCAACCUGCCCUUAGCUCCGGGAUAGCUCCGGGAAACCGGAAUUAAUACCGGAUACAACCACGGCCGACAUCUGCUGUGGUGGAAAGGAUUCCGGCUAAGGAUGGGCUCGCGGCCUAUCAGCUAGUUGGUGGAGUAACGGCCCACCAAAGGCGACGACGGGUA
Molecule: ribosomal RNA, 255 nt
Filed under: uncultured bacterium
Lineage: Bacteria
Description: partial small subunit ribosomal RNA
Rfam family: Bacterial small subunit ribosomal RNA
Source: RNAcentral